GGCAGUGGUAGCUCAGUGGUUAAGGCAUUGGCCUACUGAACGGAAGGCUUUGAGUUCAAAUCCCAGCAGUGCCA
Pangasius djambal is the source of this 74-nucleotide non-coding RNA. The record is from the annotation of a GenBank genome assembly. NCBI's taxonomy places the organism in Eukaryota, Metazoa, Chordata, Actinopteri, Siluriformes, Pangasiidae.